RNAcentral lists this ribosomal RNA (491 nucleotides) under uncultured bacterium. RNAcentral describes it as "partial 16S ribosomal RNA". It matches the Rfam family "Bacterial small subunit ribosomal RNA", at positions 29 to 507 of the family's 1533-position model. The record is from RNAcentral.
GUGAACGCUGGCGGUAGGCCCAACACAUGCCAGUCGAACGGCAGCACAGUAAGAGCUUGCUCUUACGGGUGGCGAGUGGCGGACGGGUGUGGAAUACAUCGGAAUCUACUUUUUCGUGGGGGAUAACGUAGGGAAACUUACGCUAAUACCGCAUACGACCUACGGGUGAAAGCAGGGGAUCUUCGGACCUUGCGCGAUUGAAUGAGCCGAUGUCGGAUUAGCUAGUUGGCGGGGUAAAGGCCCACCAAGGCGACGAUCCGUAGCUGGUCUGAGAGGAUGAUCAGCCACACUGGAACUGAGACACGGUCCAGACUCCUACGGGAGGCAGCAGUGGGGAAUAUUGGACAAUGGGCGCAAGCCUGAUCCAGCCAUACCGCGUGGGUGAAGAAGGCCUUCGGGUUGUAAAGCCCUUUUGUUGGGAAAGAAAAGCAGCAGGCUAAUACCCCGCUGUUCUGACGGUACCCAAAGAAUAAGCACCGGCUAACUUCGUG